UACGGGGGGAGCAAGCGUUGUUCGGAUUUACUGGGCGUAAAGGGCGCGUAGGCGGCCACUGCAAGUCGGUUGUGAAAUCUCCGGGCUUAACCCGGAAAGGUCAAUCGAUACUGCAGGGCUAGAGUGCGGAAGGGGCAACUGGAAUUCUCGGUGUAGCGGUGAAAUGCGUAGAUAUUGGGAGGAACACCGGUGGCGAAGGCGGCUAUCUGGACCGGUACUGACGCUGAGACGCGAAAGCCAGGGGAGCAAACGGG
RNAcentral lists this ribosomal RNA (254 nucleotides) under uncultured bacterium. RNAcentral describes it as "partial 16S ribosomal RNA". It matches the Rfam family "Bacterial small subunit ribosomal RNA", at positions 524 to 776 of the family's 1533-position model. The record is from RNAcentral.